UGGGGAAUUUUGCACAAUGGGGGAAACCCUGAUGCAGCGACGCCGCGUGAUUUAGAAGGCCUUCGGGUUGUAAAAAUCUUUUCUAUGGGAAGAAAAUGACAGUACCAUAGGAAUAAGGACCGGCUAAUUACGUGCCAGCAGCCGCGGUAAUACGUAAGGUCCGAGCGUUGUCCGGAAUCAUUGGGCGUAAAGGGUACGUAGGCGGGUAAGCAAGUUAGAAGUGAAAUCCUAUAGCUCAACUAUAGUAAGCUUUUAAAACUGCUCAUCUUGAGGUAUGGAAGGGAAAGUGGAAUUCCUAGUGUAGCGGUGAAAUGCGCAGAUAUUAGGAGGAAUACCGGUGGCGAAGGCGACUUUCUGGCCAUAACCUGACGCUGGGGUACGAAAGCGUGGGUAGCAAGCGGG
This 402-nucleotide ribosomal RNA is filed under the name bacterium. Its description in RNAcentral is "partial 16S ribosomal RNA". It matches the Rfam family "Bacterial small subunit ribosomal RNA", at positions 355 to 776 of the family's 1533-position model. The record is from RNAcentral.